UUUUUUAUUGCUACAUUACAAAUGAAGCCAAUAAAUAUAAGAGGGCAAUCUUCUAAGAUAAAAAAGAAACUGAAGCUUGAAUACACAACGGAAAUAAUUUCUCGGCCUUUUUAAAUCCAUAUGUUUGAUACGGUUCAACUUUGUGGUUUAGUUGUCUUGGAAGAUGCUAACUGCAAUUAGAGUGUGAAACUAACAACAGUUUUCGACCAGCUUGUUUAACCAUCCGCUCACCUUCAAAACAAGUACUUGAAACUGUCCUACUAUACAUCAUCAUAGUAGAGCCCAAGAUAUCAUCUCUGAAUCCACAUGCUUUGAAGAAGAACCUGAAAUAAGCUAUACAUAUCAUGCUUUUCAAGAACAAUUAAUACAAAUCAUUUCAUCGAUGACCCUGCCAAAGUAACCUCAUAUAUAUGUAUGUAUAUAUAUAAAUAUUUCAAUCCCAACUUUCCAUGUAACCAAGCCACUGGUGUAGUAGUAACUGAGAAAUGACUUAUGUUGCUUUCAAGUUUUGGUUGACACUAAGUCGAAGAUUCAAACCUUGACAACCCCCUUUUCCCUUGAUUAUCUCAAGUUUCUACAUAACUUAUUUACAACUAGUCUAUAUGAUGAUGUUUAUUGAAUGAGAUAAACUAUGCAGUUCAAUGAAAGAAUGAAAGCACCUAUCUAAUAAAAUUUAAGGCCCUUUUAGAUUUAGUGUGAAGGUAGCAGAAGAAAGCCAUUGAGCCAGAUAUCAUAAAAACCAAUCAGAAAGAUGCCAGGCAAUUGUAAUACACUUACUUCAGUUAAAAGUUUCAGAAUUAGUAGAAACAUAAGAGUAACAAACCUUACAAUCCUUUUAACUAUUAUUGUCCCAAUUCCCAUGCCUUGAAAAGUAGGAACAACUUGGAAUGCAGAAAACAACAAUUAUAAGAAUAUAAACAAAAUGCCAUUUACUUAAACCAAAGGAACUCAGAGUACCUUAGAAAUUCUUCAUAUGAAUCAUUAAACUUGUUUUCUAAAAUUCUCCAGUCAUUGGGAUGUAAAAUUCAUCAACCACCAAGAAAAAUAAUCCAGAACUACUUUUUCCUACAUAAAAUUCUAUUUGCCUGCUUAAACUUGACGAAAAAUGUUUUUAUUACCAUUACAAAGAAUAUGGUUUCAUAGAAAUAUUCUAAAUACAAACACAUUGUUCAAGCAACAAGAGAUAAACAUCACAAAAACUAUGAAGGACAUGGUCACUCAGAUUUUUAAUUCCAAAAAUUAUAAACAUGAAAACUUGAACAAAAUGGCCAAAUGAAAUUGCAGAAAGACUAUAGAUAGAAAACCCAAUAUUUAAUGUAUACGACAUAGACAUUAUCCUCAUAAUCAUGGAAAAAUUAGUAGCAUAAAUUCAAUCAUCAACCAUAAAGCAUAAAACCCUUUACUAACCAAUAAUUCAAGGACAAAAAGAAGUAAACUCAAAGAAAUAGAAAAAAUGAAGUGAUACCCAGAAUCGAUGAGACACAUGCUGAGGUGAAGAAGAAGAAAAGGAAGAGGAGGAGGAAACUCUGUUGGUGUUAGCAUCAGAAUUAAAAUCCAAUAAGUUGGAAUCAGUAGCAGAAGCAACCAGCGAAGAAACCCGCAAACCCAGCGCCAACUAAAAUUGGUAACUCUCUUCGGUCUGUUGAGCCCAGCUUCUAUUGAAGGACUGAUUUGCAACCCAAAGGGAAAGGGAAUAUGAAGGGAAAGGGGUAGAGGAAAAGGGAGAAGAAUGAGUCAAUUCCCCUGUUUUGGAAAAUGUCUUAUCGAAAAAAAAGUGUAAGACAUUUUCCCAGAAAAAGGCGUUAUUUUCCGUCUUUUGGAAAAGCUUUUACAGUGGGAAUUUGUUUUCCACCAAACAAACAGUGGAAAAUGAUGAAAAUAUUUUCCAAAAAACAAAAUACAAGUAAUCAAACAGACCCUUAAAUUCAAAUGCAGCAACCAAAAUCCCUCACCAAUCCACAAUAUCAAUAAAUCUCAAUUCAAACCCAAAAAUAAUCGGUAAAAAAAAAGUUGAACCCAUAAUUAUAGACCAAAAAGGGAAUUUUGAAAAACUUACCACCAUUCCCCUAUUAGGAAAUCUUACCCACAAUCAACAAUUAGAAAUCAGAACUCACCAGAAUGUUUAUUAUUUUCAAUUUGAACCAACUCUACAGUCACUUAUUGCCCAUGAUCAUCAUCCUAUAAACCCAUGAGCAUUAUUAACUUCAAAACCCAAAACACUUAUAUCAGCAUCCAACCCUACAAUGAUAGUCUUAUCGACUCAAUUAAACAAGUUUCCUUUGUCAAUCUAUAUCAAGAAACUAAGCUUGGUGUUAACAGAAGCAAGAUGUUUACUUCUAAGUUUUAGGCAUUGUUUUUGUGAUUGUUGAUCAUUACUAUUACAAUGAAGAGAUGAAUAAUUAAUCCUUUGCCGCAUAAGAAAUACAUUCCCACUUGAUUAUUAUCACAAUGAAAGAAUAAUAUAAUAACAGUAGUGCCAUUUAUGGUCCUCAUUGAACUACUACCUAGCCGCAUACGAAACAAACACCCUCACACUUCAUUAUCAUUACUACAUAUAUACAUCACACAAUAUCUUAGUGCUAAAACCUAUAUUAUCCACUUCUUAGUUAAAGAUGUGGGUGGUUGGUAUUGAACAACCAUGGAUUGUUCACCACUCGAGUCCUAGUAACAAAGCUUCAAAGAAAAGAACUUUAACAAAACACACCUGAAAAAUCCAAAGUGAGUGCCGACGGUGGUGAGUGAAGUCCAAAUCGAAGGUAUGUCACUGCGAUGACCGAUGGCAGACAAACGUCGAAUGAUGAUGGUGACCGGGUGGACAUCGGACGGUGUGACUGGUGGACAUCAGAAGGUUCACAAAGGUGACUAGCACUGGUAGUAGAGAUUUUGAGAGAUUUCAAAUUAAGGAUUUUGAAUUUUGAGGGUUAGGAAUUUCUCAUUUCUGUGACUGUGCGUGAUUUUUA
RNAcentral lists this long non-coding RNA (2960 nucleotides) under Gossypium barbadense (sea-island cotton). Its description in RNAcentral is "long non-coding RNA (GBAR_LNC014831)". Lineage: Eukaryota; Viridiplantae; Streptophyta; Magnoliopsida; Malvales; Malvaceae. The record is from RNAcentral.